RNAcentral lists this ribosomal RNA (354 nucleotides) under uncultured Anoxybacillus sp. RNAcentral describes it as "bacterial SSU rRNA". It matches the Rfam family "Bacterial small subunit ribosomal RNA", at positions 1027 to 1382 of the family's 1533-position model. Lineage: Bacteria; Bacillati; Bacillota; Bacilli; Caryophanales; Anoxybacillaceae. The record is from RNAcentral.
GAGGGUGACAGGUGGUGCAUGGUUGUCGUCAGCUCGUGUCGUGAGAUGUUGGGUUAAGUCCCGCAACGAGCGCAACCCUCGACCUUAGUUGCCAGCAUUCAGUUGGGCACUCUAAGGUGACUGCCGGCUAAAAGUCGGAGGAAGGUGGGGAUGACGUCAAAUCAUCAUGCCCCUUAUGACCUGGGCUACACACGUGCUACAAUGGGCGGUACAAAGGGUCGCGAACCCGCGAGGGGGAGCCAAUCCCAAAAAGCCGCUCUCAGUUCGGAUUGCAGGCUGCAACUCGCCUGCAUGAAGCCGGAAUCGCUAGUAAUCGCGGAUCAGCAUGCCGCGGUGAAUACGUUCCCGGGCCUU